This 67-nucleotide transfer RNA is filed under the name Symploce pallens. RNAcentral's name for it is "tRNA-Ala". It matches the Rfam family "tRNA". Rfam says of the family: Transfer RNA (tRNA) molecules are approximately 80 nucleotides in length. Their secondary structure includes four short double-helical elements and three loops (D, anti-codon, and T loops). Lineage: Eukaryota; Metazoa; Arthropoda; Insecta; Blattodea; Blattellidae. The record is from RNAcentral.
AGGAUAGUAGUUAAAUAUAACAUUUGGUUUGCAUUCAAAAAGUAUUGGAUUUUCCCAAUCUAUCUUA